Molecule: long non-coding RNA, 2979 nt
Filed under: Homo sapiens (human)
Lineage: Eukaryota; Metazoa; Chordata; Mammalia; Primates; Hominidae
Description: HSALNT0172330
Source: RNAcentral
CUGGGCUGCUGAUAUGUAACAUCUGCUUUCCUGAUGCAGCCACCAUUAUCCCAAGCCCUUGGACACGAGGCAGAGAGGAAAGUCAGCCUAGCCCUUGUGGUCUGUUCCACCAAAUGAGCCCAUGGGUGGUCCCUGGUUAGGCACAGAUGCCCCCUGCUCUUUGAAAGAACAUCCGCUUCCACUGAAACAGCAUGGAUUUAACUUUGCUCCCAUCGGCUGAUGGAACAGACACUCAGUGAACUCUACCUGGCAGCAUUCUGUGUUGUUGGAAUCCCCAGACCCUUCAGUAGAGCUCUGUUCCUGGCAGAACUGCCGCCGGAAGCCCAGAUCAUUUACUCUGGGGGAUGCAAGUUACCAUGCCUUGUCACAAAGACUAAGGCAGCCCUACGGAGAAGACUCCAGGCCUCCCACCGAUACCCAUCAGAGACCUGCCAUCUCUGAAUGUGCCACCUUCACACAAGACCCUCCAGCUGCAGGCAAGCCUUCCAGAUAACUGCAGCCCCAUCUGACAUCUGGCCUGAACCUCUGAGAAAGCAUGAGUCAGAACCACACCCAAGUUCCUCAUCCAAAGAUACUGUGGGAAAUAAGACCUGUCUGUUGUUUUAAACUACUUAAUGUUGGGAUAAUAUAUACUUAGCAAUAGAUCAUGAAUAAGCCCCGUUUCUGCUGUCAUUUUCUGUUAUGCCCCAUUUCAUAUCGGCUUAGUCUUCAAGCAUACUUCCCUCAUUGGGGUGAAAUGGUUGUAUUAGUUUCAGGUCCAACAAACAUACACCACACUGUCCAUGAGGUGAGAAUGCACAGAUAUAUCAGAAUUCCCAGCAAAUGUCUUGAGCUUCUGACAAAUUGAGCCACCCCUGACCCAAUCUCUGAGGUUAGGGGAAGGUUAUAUGCUGACUGAGAAAGCCCUGGGUUACCUGAACUAUGACAAGGAGGAUGAGUUUAAUGCAAACCACCUGACUAUUACACAUACCUCCCUGGGGGUCCUUUCCAGGAAGCUUAGGCUUUAGAAGACAAAAGCAAUAAAAAGGAUUUGCCAUCAAGUGAUGGAUACUUUCCAUUGCCAACUCUUCCUGAGGCAAAAGGAAAAAAAGACCUGGCUUCUUUUUUUGUCAUGGUGGGUGGAGAAUAAAUAAAAUAGAAAUAACUAUCUCAAUAAAUUAACUUGCUAUGUAUUUUAGUGAGUCUCUGGUGACUCCUAAAUUUAUAUCUUUAUCCUAGAACAUCUCUCAACCUCCAGAGUCAUGUAUACAAUUGCCUCUUGACGUUUCUACUUUGGUAUCUGUAGACAUCUCAAACUAGACAUAGCCAUUGGAGACCCUGAUUCUUUCCCACAAACAUGCUGACACUCCAUAUCCAAUCCAAAGGGAAAUCAUGCUAGCCCUGCCUUCAGAAUAUGUCUAGAAUCCCUCCAUUUCUCACAGCUUCCUGUCAUCUAUGGGUCACCAUCAUCUCUCACCUCUAUUACUGCCUCCUAGCUAGUUUCCUUUGCUUACUAACAGGGAAAGGUGAUCCUCUGAAAAACCCACCCUCACCACUCACAUAACCUCUCCUACCUCUGUUCUAGAAGCACUGCCUUCUUUACCUUCAAAUGUGCCAGGACCCUUCCUACCUGGUCAUUAUUUUACCUUCUUCAAGUCUUGGCCUAAAUCUCACAUUCUCAACAAAGGCAUUCCUGCACUGCCGGAUUUAACAUUGGGACCUGCAUGGCUCCAUCCUGCCCUUCGUCCUGCCCUCUCAAGUUCCCCUUACCCUAUCAUAUUAAUAUUUUCAUUUUUUCAUGGCAUUUCUCAUCUUCUAUAUAAUUUACUUAUUAAUUAUACUUACUGUCUACCGCCAUCCCCUGCACCAUGCAUGUUCCAUAAGAGCAGGGAUCCAUGCUUAUCUUUUCCACUGCUGCCAAGAACAGUGCCUGAGGACUUGGAACCCUAGAGGGGAUGCUUGAUAAGGAUUUGUUGAGUGAAUGACUGGCUGGUUGGCUAGCUGAUGCUCACACCAACCCCAUGAUGUAGGGAUCCCUUCUGCCUCCAUUUGCUGAGGGGUUCAGUAACUUGUUGGAAAUCACAAAGCAAGAGGAUGAGGAGCUGAGAUGAAAGCCCAGCCCACGUGCUUUGCCACAGGCCCUUCCUGCAGCAGCUCUUAUAGAAUUUCUAAUAAUUAGACCCCUUCUUUCCUCUCAACCUUAACUUGGAAUAUAAUUAUGGAAAUUUUUUUAUCACAGCAGAUUUCAUUAAGUUAAAGAAAAUGUAAAAAUUAUGAAGAUGGCCUGAAGUCAGGAAUGCCAUCAGGGAAAUGAAGCUCUUAACCUAUGUGAUUUGACUUUUGGGAAAUAUAUUUAGUAAUCACUUUUAUCUUAAAAUAUCUAACAAUGUCUUAAGAAAAUGUCUUUCUCCUAAUUGUUUUUGUCUUUAUCUAGGCUUAUUGAAUCUGUGCCCCCAACCCCUGCUCCAAAAAAGAAAUUGAUGAAUCCCUGUAUUUAUUUUUGAAAUAUUUGUGCUCAAAGCUUCUGAACUUGUUCCUUUAUUGACUAACCAAUAAACAAAAAAUGUCUGUUUUCUCAGCAGAAGCCCAGGAACUUGUGUCACUCUGAGAAAUAACAGUGAAUUUCCUCAUUAGGAAAAAGACCGCUGAGUCUGGCAUUUGAUAGCAAUCAAAAGUGCCCAGGGCUAAGACCUACCUCUUCACCCCUCCACUCCUGCCAGCCUUUAUUUCCCUCUCUGACUGCCCAAUACUGGGUUUGCCCACUCAGGAGGAACCUACCCAUACACUUCACCACUAGGGAUGGUCUGUAAAUGAGUGACUAAUGAAAAUGUAGGACCUACCCAAAUUUAUCUAAGGUGAGUUGAAGAUCAAAUGAAUGAAAUGAAGUGAAAAGAAAAGUUUAGAGAAAAAAGAAUAAAAAGAAAUGAACAAACCCUCCAAGAAAUAUGGGACUAUGUGAAAAGACCAAAUCUACAUCUGAUUGGUGUACCUGAAAGUGAC